GACGAACGCUGGCGGCGUGCUUAACACAUGCAAGUCGAACGGAAAGGCCCUGCUUUUGUGGGGUGCUCGAGUGGCGAACGGGUGAGUAACACGUGUGUAACCUGCCCUUGACUUUGGGAUAACUUCAGGAAACUGGGGCUAAUACCGGAUAGGAGCUCCUGCUGCAUGGUGGGGGUUGGAAAGUUUCGGCGUUUGGGGAUGGACUAGCGGCUUAUCAGCUUGUUGGUGGGGUAGUGGCUUACCAAGGCUUUGACGGGUAGCCGGCCUGGGAGCGUGGCCGGCCACAAUGGGACUGAGAUACGGACCAGACUGCUAUGUGAGGCAGCAGUGGGGAGUAUUGCACAAUGAGCGGAAGCGUGAUGCAGCAACGCCGCGUUCGGAAUGACGGCCUUCGGGGUGUGAACCGCUUUCGCCUGAGACGAAGCGUGAGUGACGGUAAUGAGUAAAGAAGCACCGGCUAACUACGUG
This 468-nucleotide ribosomal RNA is filed under the name uncultured bacterium. RNAcentral describes it as "partial 16S ribosomal RNA". It matches the Rfam family "Bacterial small subunit ribosomal RNA", at positions 28 to 507 of the family's 1533-position model. The record is from RNAcentral.